UAGCACCUCAAAAUUCUGCUCUUAGCCAGAGUACAUUUCCCGGAGUCACUCCCAAUGCAAUAUCAACUACUGGUGAAAAUAAUGCCCCCCCUGCAGUGUCCAGUUUCAGUCAACUGGGUGCAUCACUUAAUAUGGGGUCUAAAACAAGGCCUUCUGCACCAUUAAAUAAUCCCUUUGGGCAACCAAAUCUCUUCUCAAAUUCUAGCCAGAGUUUCAGUACAUUUGGAAUAAGGCCCUCUGCAUCGUCAAAUAAUGCUUUUGGGCAACCAAAUUUCUUCUCUAAUGCAAGCCAAACCUCAAGUGCGUUUGGGACAAACAGUUUCGCACCUGCAAAUGCUGCAGGCUUCAGCAGUAGAACAAUCAACAAUCAAAGUAGUCCGUUUUCUUCAGCAGUGUCAACAGAAAUGACUAAUUCGUCUAGGUCUAGCGCUCAGCCUCUCAUUAUUUCCGAUGCACCUAAUUCAGCUUCUAAUGCAGUUGAGCCAGUAACUAAACAUAUUCAGUCAGUCAACGGCAUGCAAAGAGGAACUGUUUCUGGGGAUGCAAGUAUUUGGUUAAAAGAAAACUGGAUCCCUGGAGAGAUUCCUGAAGAGGCACCUCCGGAUCAAUAUAUUUAACAGGGGGAUAUUCUUUUUCCUGAUAUGUAUUUUUAUAUCAGCAGUGUAGCUGAUGAGCUAUGAA
RNAcentral lists this unclassified non-coding RNA (681 nucleotides) under Hevea brasiliensis (rubber tree). Lineage: Eukaryota; Viridiplantae; Streptophyta; Magnoliopsida; Malpighiales; Euphorbiaceae. The record is from RNAcentral.